UACGUAGGGAGCAAGCGUUGUUCGGAUUUACUGGGCGUAAAGGGCGCGUAGGCGGCAAUUCAAGUCAUCUGUGAAAUCUCCGGGCUUAACUCGGAACGGUCAGAUGAUACUGCUUUGCUAGAGUGCGGAAGGGGCAAUCGGAAUUCUCGGUGUAGCGGUGAAAUGCGUAGAUAUCGAGAGGAACACCUGAGGUGAAGACGGGUUGCUGGGCCGACACUGACGCUGACAGCGCGAAAGCCAGGGGAGCGAACGGG
This 254-nucleotide ribosomal RNA is filed under the name uncultured bacterium. RNAcentral describes it as "partial 16S ribosomal RNA". It matches the Rfam family "Bacterial small subunit ribosomal RNA", at positions 524 to 776 of the family's 1533-position model. The record is from RNAcentral.